Molecule: ribosomal RNA, 301 nt
Filed under: uncultured bacterium
Lineage: Bacteria
Description: partial 16S ribosomal RNA
Rfam family: Bacterial small subunit ribosomal RNA
Source: RNAcentral
CAGUAGCCGCGGUAAUACGGAGGAGGCUAGCGUUGUUCGGAAUUACUGGGCGUAAAGCGUGCGCAGGCGGUUGUGUAAGACAGGUGUGAAAUCCCCGGGCUUAACCUGGGAACUGCGCUUGUGACUGCACAGCUAGAGUAUGGCAGAGGGGGGUGGAGUUCCACGUGUAGCAGUGAAAUGCGUAGAGAUCGGGAGGAACAUCAGUGGCGAAGGCGGCCAUCUGGGACAACACUGACGCUGAGGCACGAAAGCGUGGGGAGCAAACAGGAUUAGAGACCCCCGUAGUCCCUGUCUCUUAUAC